GUUGAAGGUGCAGCAAACCAAGGUGGUAAAGGACCAAGUAUUUGGGAUACAUACGCCAAUGAUCAUGCAGGUUAAUUUCGUCCUUCACCAUACAAUUUUCAGUUUUAAAAAUAUACAAGUUUAAAGUUUUGAGGGUACAUUUAUAAAUUAAAGAAGGGUCAUAUUAACUAGUCUUCUUAAAAUUGACUACACAAAUUCUAAAUAUCUCUUGCCAUUAAAGAAUUUCAUUAUAUUUGGCAAACUUCCACAGCAUAUUCAAAUGUGGAAUUGACAAAUAUACUGUAUAAAAUCACUUGUAUCACAUCAAACAUUUAAAACUAGUUAUUAGUUAAUUAUGGGGAGAUACAUAUGUCUAACCCAAUUGCUAAUAAAAUGCAUUUUUUGAUACAUAAGCGAAAUAAUAAAGUUAUCAUAAAUUAACACACAAAUGAAGAGCUAGAGUUUGAACUCUGGUCGUGACAUCCGACCUAAAAAUUUUAAUAUUUAUACCAGUUGAACUUGAACUUUGGACUU
RNAcentral lists this long non-coding RNA (513 nucleotides) under Trifolium pratense (red clover). RNAcentral's name for it is "long non-coding RNA (TPRA_LNC010736)". Lineage: Eukaryota; Viridiplantae; Streptophyta; Magnoliopsida; Fabales; Fabaceae. The record is from RNAcentral.